Molecule: ribosomal RNA, 696 nt
Filed under: uncultured bacterium
Lineage: Bacteria
Description: bacterial SSU rRNA
Rfam family: Bacterial small subunit ribosomal RNA
Source: RNAcentral
AACGCUAGCUACAGGCUUAACACAUGCAAGUCGAGGGGAAACGACAUCGAAAGCUUGCUUUUGAUGGGCGUCGACCGGCGCACGGGUGAGUAACGCGUAUCCAACCUGCCCACCACUUGGGGAUAACCUUGCGAAAGUAAGACUAAUACCCAAUGAUAUCUCUAGAAGACAUCUGAAAGAGAUUAAAGAUUUAUCGGUGAUGGAUGGGGAUGCGUCUGAUUAGCUUGUUGGCGGGGUAACGGCCCACCAAGGCAACGAUCAGUAGGGGUUCUGAGAGGAAGGUCCCCCACAUUGGAACUGAGACACGGUCCAAACUCCUACGGGAGGCAGCAGUGAGGAAUAUUGGUCAAUGGACGAGAGUCUGAACCAGCCAAGUAGCGUGCAGGAAGACGGCCCUAUGGGUUGUAAACUGCUUUUAUAAGGGAAUAAAGUGAGAGUCGUGACUCUUUUUGCAUGUACCUUAUGGAUAAGGACCGGCUAAUUCCGUGCCAGCAGCCGCGGUAAUACGGAAGGUCCGGGCGUUAUCCGGAUUUAUUGGGUUUAAAGGGAGCGUAGGCCGGAGAUUAAGCGUGUUGUGAAAUGUAGAUGCUCAACAUCUGAACUGCAGCGCGAACUGGUUUCCUUGAGUACGCACAAAGUGGGCGGAAUUCGUGGUGUAGCGGUGAAAUGCUUAGAUAUCACGAAGAACUCCGAUUG